Molecule: ribosomal RNA, 1753 nt
Filed under: Salmonella enterica
Lineage: Bacteria; Pseudomonadati; Pseudomonadota; Gammaproteobacteria; Enterobacterales; Enterobacteriaceae
Also listed under: 1 other name
Description: partial 23S ribosomal RNA
Rfam family: Bacterial large subunit ribosomal RNA
Source: RNAcentral
GGUGCUAACGUCCGUCGUGAAGAGGGAAACAACCCAGACCGCCAGCUAAGGUCCCAAAGUCAUGGUUAAGUGGGAAACGAUGUGGGAAGGCCCAGACAGCCAGGAUGUUGGCUUAGAAGCAGCCAUCAUUUAAAGAAAGCGUAAUAGCUCACUGGUCGAGUCGGCCUGCGCGGAAGAUGUAACGGGGCUAAACCAUGCACCGAAGCUGCGGCAGCGACACUGUGUGUUGUUGGGUAGGGGAGCGUUCUGUAAGCCUGUGAAGGUGUGUCGUGAGGCAUGCUGGAGGUAUCAGAAGUGCGAAUGCUGACAUAAGUAACGAUAAAGCGGGUGAAAAGCCCGCUCGCCGGAAGACCAAGGGUUCCUGUCCAACGUUAAUCGGGGCAGGGUGAGUCGACCCCUAAGGCGAGGCCGAAAGGCGUAGUCGAUGGGAAACGGGUUAAUAUUCCCGUACUUGGUGUUACUGCGAAGGGGGGACGGAGAAGGCUAUGUUGGCCGGGCGACGGUUGUCCCGGUUUAAGCGUGUAGGUGUGUGUUCCAGGUAAAUCCGGUUCACUUUAACACUGAGGCGUGACGACGAGGCACUACGGUGCUGAAGCAACAAAUGCCCUGCUUCCAGGAAAAGCCUCUAAGCAUCAGGUAACAUCAAAUCGUACCCCAAACCGACACAGGUGGUCAGGUAGAGAAUACCAAGGCGCUUGAGAGAACUCGGGUGAAGGAACUAGGCAAAAUGGUGCCGUAACUUCGGGAGAAGGCACGCUGACACGUAGGUGAAGUGAUUUACUCAUGGAGCUGAAGUCAGUCGAAGAUACCAGCUGGCUGCAACUGUUUAUUAAAAACACAGCACUGUGCAAACACGAAAGUGGACGUAUACGGUGUGACGCCUGCCCGGUGCCGGAAGGUUAAUUGAUGGGGUCAGCGCAAGCGAAGCUCCUGAUCGAAGCCCCGGUAAACGGCGGCCGUAACUAUAACGGUCCUAAGGUAGCGAAAUUCCUUGUCGGGUAAGUUCCGACCUGCACGAAUGGCGUAAUGAUGGCCAGGCUGUCUCCACCCGAGACUCAGUGAAAUUGAACUCGCUGUGAAGAUGCAGUGUACCCGCGGCAAGACGGAAAGACCCCGUGAACCUUUACUAUAGCUUGACACUGAACAUUGAGCCUUGAUGUGUAGGAUAGGUGGGAGGCUUUGAAGUGUGGACGCCAGUCUGCAUGGAGCCGACCUUGAAAUACCACCCUUUAAUGUUUGAUGUUCUAACGUGGACCCGUAAUCCGGGUUGCGGACAGUGUCUGGUGGGUAGUUUGACUGGGGCGGUCUCCUCCUAAAGAGUAACGGAGGAGCACGAAGGUUGGCUAAUCCUGGUCGGACAUCAGGAGGUUAGUGCAAUGGCAUAAGCCAGCUUGACUGCGAGCGUGACGGCGCGAGCAGGUGCGAAAGCAGGUCAUAGUGAUCCGGUGGUUCUGAAUGGAAGGGCCAUCGCUCAACGGAUAAAAGGUACUCCGGGGAUAACAGGCUGAUACCGCCCAAGAGUUCAUAUCGACGGCGGUGUUUGGCACCUCGAUGUCGGCUCAUCACAUCCUGGGGCUGAAGUAGGUCCCAAGGGUAUGGCUGUUCGCCAUUUAAAGUGGUACGCGAGCUGGGUUUAGAACGUCGUGAGACAGUUCGGUCCCUAUCUGCCGUGGGCGCUGGAGAACUGAGGGGGGCUGCUCCUAGUACGAGAGGACCGGAGUGGACGCAUCACUGGUGUUCGGGUUGUCAUGCC